RNAcentral lists this ribosomal RNA (253 nucleotides) under uncultured bacterium. Its description in RNAcentral is "partial 16S ribosomal RNA". It matches the Rfam family "Bacterial small subunit ribosomal RNA", at positions 524 to 776 of the family's 1533-position model. The record is from RNAcentral.
UACGUAGGGGGCAAGCGUUGUCCGGAAUCAUUGGGCGUAAAGGGUGCGUAGGCGGCGCGGUAAGUCGGGUGUGAAAUCUUGGAGCUUAACUCCGAAACUGCAUUCGAUACUGCCGUGCUUGAGGACUGGAGAGGAGACUGGAAUUUACGGUGUAGCGGUGAAAUGCGUAGAUAUCGUAAGGAAGACCAGUGGCGAAGGCGGGUCUCUGGACAGUUCCUGACGCUGAGGCACGAAGGUCAGGGGAGCAAACGGG